RNAcentral lists this ribosomal RNA (484 nucleotides) under uncultured bacterium. Its description in RNAcentral is "partial 16S ribosomal RNA". It matches the Rfam family "Bacterial small subunit ribosomal RNA", at positions 30 to 507 of the family's 1533-position model. The record is from RNAcentral.
AUUGAACGCUGGCGGCAGGCCUAACACAUGCAAGUCGAGCGGAUGAAGGGAGCUUGCUCCUGGAUUCAGCGGCGGACGGGUGAGUAAUGCCUAGGAAUCUGCCUGGUAGUGGGGGAUAACGUCCGGAAACGGGCGCUAAUACCGCAUACGUCCUGAGGGAGAAAGUGGGGGAUCUUCGGACCUCACGCUAUCAGAUGAGCCUAGGUCGGAUUAGCUAGUUGGUGGGGUAAAGGCCUACCAAGGCGACGAUCCGUAACUGGUCUGAGAGGAUGAUCAGUCACACUGGAACUGAGACACGGUCCAGACUCCUACGGGAGGCAGGAGAGGGGAAUAUUGGAAAAUGGGCGAAAGCCUGAUCCAGCCAUGCCGCGUGGGUGAAGAAGGUCUUCGGAUUGUAAAGCACUUUAAGUUGGGAGGAAGGGCAGUAAGUUAAUACCUUGCUGUUUUGACGUUACCAACAGAAUAAGCACCGGCUAAAUUCGUG